Molecule: unclassified non-coding RNA, 174 nt
Filed under: uncultured Diplogelasinospora
Lineage: Eukaryota; Fungi; Ascomycota; Sordariomycetes; Sordariales; Sordariaceae
Description: sequence contains ITS2
Source: RNAcentral
CAACCAUCAAGCCCGGCUUGUGUUGGGGACCCUGCGGCUGCCCGCAGGCCCCGAAAUCCAGUGGCGGGCUCGCUGUCACCCCGAGCGCAGUAGAGGGAGCAAUUACCACAUCCUCGCUCAGGGCCGUGAGGGCGGGCUCCAGCCGUUAAAGUGACUUUACCCCACAAAACAAGG